Molecule: microRNA precursor, 69 nt
Filed under: Dasypus novemcinctus (nine-banded armadillo)
Lineage: Eukaryota; Metazoa; Chordata; Mammalia; Cingulata; Dasypodidae
Description: miRNA (ENSDNOG00000040827.1)
Source: RNAcentral
CGCAGGCUCUGGGGCGGCCGGGCUCCGGCGGAGGCCCGAGCACCCGGGGGCGGGGCUGGGGGCGGGGCC